GACGAACGCUGGCGGCGUGCUUAACACAUGCAAGUCGAACGGUGAAGCGCCUUCCUUUUUGGUGGGUGUGGAUGAGUGGCGAACGGGUGAGUAACACGUGAGUAACCUGCCCCCUUCUUCUGGAUAACCGCAUGAAAGUGUGGCUAAUACGGGAUAUUCUGGGUCUGUCGCAUGAUGGGUCUGGGAAAGAUAUUGUUUCGGUGGGGGUGGGCUCGCGGCCUAUCAGCUUGUUGGUGGGGUGAUGGCCUACCAAGGCGGUGACGGGUAGCCGGCCUGAGAGGGUGGACGGUCACACUGGGACUGAGACACGGCCCAGACUCCUACGGGAGGCAGCAGUGGGGAAUAUUGCACAAUGGGCGCAAGCCUGAUGCAGCGACGCCGCGUGAGGGAUGGAGGCCUUCGGGUUGUGAACCUCUUUCGCCAGUGAAGCAGGCCUGCCUCGUUUGUGGGUGGGUUGACGGUAGCUGGAUAAGAAGCGCCGGCUAACUACGUG
RNAcentral lists this ribosomal RNA (493 nucleotides) under uncultured bacterium. Its description in RNAcentral is "partial 16S ribosomal RNA". It matches the Rfam family "Bacterial small subunit ribosomal RNA", at positions 28 to 507 of the family's 1533-position model. The record is from RNAcentral.